Molecule: long non-coding RNA, 951 nt
Filed under: Daphnia pulex (common water flea)
Lineage: Eukaryota; Metazoa; Arthropoda; Branchiopoda; Diplostraca; Daphniidae
Description: uncharacterized LOC124196826, transcript variant X1
Source: RNAcentral
GCUGUACCGUGGUGUAGGCGAGUCUAUGCUUAUAACACAUUUCAUGUGAAAUCUUGAAUGAAUCCAAUAAGAAGUAAUCAUUCGAAUGGCUAUAAUAGAAGUUCUCUAUUGUUUUUCCAUGAAGUCUGAGUUGGCAAAGUUCUAAUGCACAAUUGCACGUGGUUUGAUCCUCCUUAUCAACGAAGCUGUUUGUGUGAUUGCUGUUUUAAUUUUUGGAGGUAUUAUCAUCAUCUCUCUGAGCCGACAAUCCAACGUCAGUCAACUCUUUCUCGACUUUCCCUUUUUACUGUGUCCUCGUGUACAUUCAUGCGAAGGUGAGUGUAUUCACGAGGACUUUCUUUCCUUCCGCUUUUCCUACCUGACAUUGGGACUUUUCCAGCUACGACGUUCGACUUCCUCAUCCAUUUAAGAUGGAAUAUUUCUCACGUUACCAGUGCUCCUUCGUCAAACUAUUUCUACAACUUCAAGUUCAAACUACUUCGUCGCCAUCAAAUGAAAAUAUCGAGAAAAGGCUAUUGUCAAUUACAUUUUGAGCUCUGGACGAUGGUUCUAAACGAUUUCAAGAAAAAGUGUUGCGAAACGAACCACCUCCUCCCAGUCUUGUCCAGCCAGAAAACGUCCGAUUGCUGGAAGUGACUCGAGUCGCCUGUACCGCAAUUUCAAGGACUUUGACGCAUAGCCAAGCAGAACGGAAUUGUCAAAAGCCCCAUGUGUCGUGUCUCAUGACUCAUCUUUUCCCACGCCCCUUUUUACGUCGUCUGCCGAAGAAGUUUUCCAUCAAGAAUGUAACUUAACAACUGCUUAACAAAGAAUUUAGAAGAAUGGAACAAAAGUCUUCCAUCAACAAAAACAGAAAAGCAGUGAUAUGAAUAACAAGAUUCUAAGUCUAAGGUAGCAUAGUCUCUGGGAAUUUCACGAAAAACAGUUUUCACAUCUAUAAUAAAUGUGAUC